This 380-nucleotide ribosomal RNA is filed under the name uncultured eukaryote. Its description in RNAcentral is "partial 18S ribosomal RNA". It matches the Rfam family "Eukaryotic small subunit ribosomal RNA", at positions 592 to 976 of the family's 1831-position model. The record is from RNAcentral.
CAAUAGCGUAUAUUAAAGUUGUUGCGGUUAAAAAGCUCGUAGUUGGAUUUCUGCCGAGGACGACCGGUCCGCCCUCUGGGUGAGUAUCUGGCUCGGCCUGGGCAUCUUCUUGGAGAACGUAGCUGCACUUGACUGUGUGGUGCGGUAUCCAGGACUUUUACUUUGAGGAAAUUAGAGUGUUUCAAGCAGGCUUACGCCUUGAAUACAUUAGCAUGGAAUAAUAAGAUAGGACCUCGGUUCUAUUUUGUUGGUUUCUAGAGCUGAGGUAAUGAUUAAUAGGGAUAGUUGGGGGCACCUGUAUUGCGUUGUCAGAGGUGAAAUUCUUGGAUUUACGCAAGACAAACAGCUGCGAAAGCGUCUGCCAAGGAUGUUUUCAUUAA